GACGAACGCUGGCGGCGUGCCUAAUACAUGCAAGUCGAGCGCAGGAAAUCAUCCGAACCUUUCGGGGGGACGUUGAUGGAAUGAGCGGCGGACGGGUGAGUAACACGUAAAGCACCUGCCCUCAGGUCUGGGAUAACCACGAGAAAUCGGGGCUAAUACCGGAUGGGUAAUCGGACCGCAUGGUCCGCGGAUGAAAGGCGCUCCGGCGUAGCCUGGGGAUGGCUUUGCGGUGCAUUAGCUAGUUGGUGGGGUAAGGGCCCACCAAGGCGACGAUGCAUAGCCGACCUGAGAGGGUGAUCGGCCACACUGGGACUGAGACACGGCCCAGACUCCUACGGGAGGCAGCAGUAGGGAAUCUUCCACAAUGGACGAAAGUCUGAUGGAGCAACGCCGCGUGAACGAUGAAGGCCUUCGGGUCGUAAAGUUCUGUUGUAAGGGAAGAACAAGUGCCGCAGGCAAUGGCGGCACCUUGACGGUACCUUGCGAGAAAGCCACGGCUAACUACGUGCCAGCCGCCGCGGUAA
RNAcentral lists this ribosomal RNA (524 nucleotides) under uncultured bacterium. RNAcentral describes it as "partial 16S ribosomal RNA". It matches the Rfam family "Bacterial small subunit ribosomal RNA", at positions 28 to 523 of the family's 1533-position model. The record is from RNAcentral.